AUUGAACGCUGGCGGCAGGCCUAACACAUGCAAGUCGAGCGGAUGAAGGGAGCUUGCUCCUGGAUUCAGCGGCGGACGGGUGAGUAAUGCCUAGGAAUCUGCCUGGUAGUGGGGGAUAACGUCCGGAAACGGGCGCUAAUACCGCAUACGUCCUGAGGGAGAAAGUGGGGGAUCUUCGGACCUCACGCUAUCAGAUGAGCCUAGGUCGGAUUAGCUAGUUGGUGGGGUAAAGGCCUACCAAGGCGACGAUCCGUAACUGGUCUGAGAGGAUGAUCAGUCACACGGGAACUGAGACACGGUCCAGACUCCUACGGGAGGCAGCAGUGGGGAAUAUUGGACAAUGGGCAAAAGCCUGAUCCAGCCAUGCCGCGUGUGUGAAGAAGGUCUUCGGAUUGUAAAGCACUUUAAGUUGGGAGGAAGGGCAGUAAGUUAAUACCUUGCUGUUUUGACGUUACCAACAGAAUAAGCACCGGCUAACUUCGUG
This 484-nucleotide ribosomal RNA is filed under the name uncultured bacterium. RNAcentral describes it as "partial 16S ribosomal RNA". It matches the Rfam family "Bacterial small subunit ribosomal RNA", at positions 30 to 507 of the family's 1533-position model. The record is from RNAcentral.